GGGAAUAUAGUGCAGUAGUUAGCAUAUCUGAUUGUGGCUCAGAUGACCUGGGUGCAAAUCCCGGUAUUCCUA
RNAcentral lists this transfer RNA (72 nucleotides) under Endocarpon pusillum. RNAcentral describes it as "tRNA-His (GTG) (tRNA-His-GTG-2-1)". It matches the Rfam family "tRNA". From Rfam's summary of the family: Transfer RNA (tRNA) molecules are approximately 80 nucleotides in length. Their secondary structure includes four short double-helical elements and three loops (D, anti-codon, and T loops). The record is from RNAcentral. Lineage: Eukaryota; Fungi; Ascomycota; Eurotiomycetes; Verrucariales; Verrucariaceae.